UCUGGGCAGAGCUGCAGGAGAGA
This 23-nucleotide microRNA is filed under the name Mus musculus (house mouse). Its description in RNAcentral is "mmu-miR-1231-5p". Lineage: Eukaryota; Metazoa; Chordata; Mammalia; Rodentia; Muridae. The record is from miRBase by way of RNAcentral.